Molecule: ribosomal RNA, 200 nt
Filed under: uncultured bacterium
Lineage: Bacteria
Description: partial 16S ribosomal RNA
Rfam family: Bacterial small subunit ribosomal RNA
Source: RNAcentral
AGAGUUUGAUCCUGGCUCAGAACGAACGCUGGCGGCAGGCCUAACACAUGCAAGUCGAACGCAACUUCGGUUGAGUGGCGCACGGGUGAGUAACGCGUGGGAACCUGUCCUAUGGUACGGAACAACAUCGGGAAACUGGUGCUAAUACCGUAUAAGCCCCGAGGGGGAAAGAUUUAUCGCCAUAGGAGGGGCCCGCGUAG